Long non-coding RNA from Panicum virgatum (switchgrass), 1184 nucleotides. RefSeq lists it as uncharacterized. The transcript is spliced from 3 exons. Lineage: Eukaryota; Viridiplantae; Streptophyta; Magnoliopsida; Poales; Poaceae. The record is from RefSeq and is a predicted model, not a curated record.
GCAUGGAGGCGGAAUAGGUGGAGACGGAGAGGUGGGCGAUUCGGCAGACCUUGUCUUCCUCAACGACGAUUGUGGAUUUCCGGCGAGGUCCUCUUGAGCCUGCUGUAACAAUGGGCAAGGGGACAUUCUCCUUUUAUUAUUAUUUUUGUUGGCUUAUACUAUCCAUCAUAUAUAUGUAUGUGUGAUUUUUAUACUUCUACACAGUGCAAUUUCUUUUCAGCAAACAAUUCAUAAAACCAUAUGUAUUUGUAGUGCUUCUACUAGCAGUAUGAUAUGUUGAAUUUGUCAAAAUUAUAUUUUCAAGCUAAAUUCACAUGGAUAUAUAUUCUUCGUACCAUGUACCUUUUGCAUCAGUAUGUUCUUUGGGUGAUUGUCCUUCAUAUAAUGUCUAAACUUGUCAUUUUCUUACAGAUGUUCUUCAUUCUUUUCAGUUUUGAAUAAUAAAAUUUAUAGUGAUAAUUUAUAUCAAUGUGGCAUUAUUAUGACAUUUUAGUUUCAUUUGAAAAUCCUUUUCAUGUAGUGAUAUAAAAUUACACUAGUGAAACUUCUUCAAUUUCAUCGCACAGAUUGUACUUUCUAUCUUACGGAGGGUGCCCUUUUAUUGCUAUGAUGUACAGUCAUUGUGUGUUUUAUCUCUUCUAGAGGCUUUUUUUUAUUUCAUCAUAGUCUGCUCGAUCAUGGAGGGUUAGCUCAAAUCUUUCUAGCUAGUUUCUGCCCUCUCUACAACUGUUUCCUCAUGCACCUCCACAUUUACUGUACCAUUCCUACUUAAUUAUAGUUUAGUAUAUGCAGAGACAAUGUUGCCUUUCAGUGCAUACGACCACUAAAUCUUGGAUAAUCCCAUGCUUGCAUAUUUGAAACUAUUUUUCCUGGCCGCCAUCUAUGGUUUGCUUGGCAUCCCUUUUUUCAUACUUGAUGUGGUACAGGCCUAUCUGCCGCAUAAUGAGGUAUGUGGCAUUGGUUAUAAAUGCCUUUUAAUUUUGUGUAGCUUUUGAAUCUAGGUGACCGAUUCGAUUUGUAAUUAUAAUUUCUAUUGUUCUAGAACAACGAUGACUCUAAGAUGAUAUGUGAAGACAACUUCAAGAAUGUAUACAAGUUAUUUUGUGGUUGAGUAUCCUAUUGUGUAAACUAAGAGUUUACCCAAGUGUUUUUGAGAUGAGUGGUGUGUAAUGCACCUUUCCAAG